GACGAACGCUGGCGGCGUGCUUAACACAUGCAAGUCGAACGGAAAGGACCUGCUUUUGUGGGGUGCUCGAAUGGCGAACGGGUGAGUAACACGUGAGUAACCUGCCCUUGACUUUGGGAUAACUUCAGGAAACUGGGGCUAAUACCGGAUAGGAGCUCCUGCUGCAUGGUGGGGGUUGGAAAGUUUCGGCGGUUGGGGAUGGACUCGCGGCUUAUCAGCUGGUUGGUGGGGUAGUGGCUUACCAAGGCUUUGACGGAUAGCCGGCCUGAGAGGGUGACCGGCCACAUUGGGACUGAGAUACGGCGCAGACUCCUACGGGAGGCAGCAGUGGGGAACAUUGCAGAAUGGGCGGAAGCCUGAUGCAGCAACGCCGCGUGCGGGAUGACGGCCUUCGGGUUGUAAACCGCUUUCGCCUGUGACGAAGCGUGAGUGACGGUAAUGGGUAAAGAAGCACCGGCUAACUACGUG
This 468-nucleotide ribosomal RNA is filed under the name uncultured bacterium. RNAcentral describes it as "partial 16S ribosomal RNA". It matches the Rfam family "Bacterial small subunit ribosomal RNA", at positions 28 to 507 of the family's 1533-position model. The record is from RNAcentral.